AGAAAUUGUAACUCCAUUUGUCAGAAGCCACGAACAGCUGGCAGACAUCUUCACAAAGGCCCUCGACAAAGUAAGUCACCAAAGACUUCUGAGCAAGAUGGGUACUAUGAAUCUAUUCGAACCCAUCUUGAGGGGGAGUGUUGAAGCACCAAGAACAGACCACAACAGCAUUACUCAACAGUCAGAAACCAGCAGUAGGGACUAACAGUCUUU
RNAcentral lists this long non-coding RNA (213 nucleotides) under Ricinus communis (castor bean). RNAcentral's name for it is "long non-coding RNA (RCOM_LNC000653)". The record is from RNAcentral. Lineage: Eukaryota; Viridiplantae; Streptophyta; Magnoliopsida; Malpighiales; Euphorbiaceae.